AGCAUAAAUAAUAGAACGAACGUAAAAUAUACAAAAAUAUAAUAAUAUAUAAUUAAAUAUACAUAAGAAAUAUUUGAAAUAAAAUAUAUUAUCAAAUAAUACGCAUUAUAAAUCUAAAAUAAAUAUUAUAUUGAGUGUACAGACCCAAUUUCUGCCCGGCCCACUAACAAUUAACCCAGUCUAUUACAGCAUUAAACCCAAUUACAAAACCAAACUAACCCAAGCCCAGACACCUAAAAUAUUUUCAGAAAAAAACCCUAGCCUUUGACCUAGGCGCCGCAUGUCCCUUCAACCACCUACUCAUCUGCCGACGCCAUUUGCAGGCUACCCUGUCUGCAUCACGUCUCCUCCACCGCCCUAUACCUGCAAACAAUAAAGAGAGACAACAGCAACAAGCAACAGGAGGAGGCUUUUGUUUUGUUUUUGUUCUCGGUAUAAAAAUCGAUUAUUAACAGAUUGUAAAAGGGGGGCUUCCGAUUUUUGUAAAAAAAAACACAUUAGCAUAAAGAAAUAAAAGAAAAAAUAGAUUCAAGGUUAUUUUUUUCUAUCAGAUUUGCAUUUCCCUUUUAUUUUUUUUAUUUUCUUUAUUUUGCAUAUUAAAUAAAAACAAAAAGAAAAAGGUACCUGUUCGUUUCGAAGGCCGGCGUCAGUGCCCUUCUUCGCCGUCAUCGGAGUCGAACAUGGGGAGCGACCUCUUCUUUUUUUCUCUCGAUCUCGUGGUUGAGAAGGCCAAGCCUUCAAGGAAGCCGAAAGGGGAGGACUGAAAAGCCCAUUUCGCGCAACUCCGGCCAUUGGCCGUGGAGGUGGCGCGGCGGAGGCCUGAACCCUAGGUCGGAUUUUGGAGGAGAGGCCGAGAGAAAGAGAGAACUCUCUCUGUUUUCUGAAAAAAUAAGGGCUGAAA
This 901-nucleotide long non-coding RNA is filed under the name Gossypium raimondii (Peruvian cotton). RNAcentral describes it as "long non-coding RNA (GRAI_LNC005469)". Lineage: Eukaryota; Viridiplantae; Streptophyta; Magnoliopsida; Malvales; Malvaceae. The record is from RNAcentral.